Molecule: ribosomal RNA, 498 nt
Filed under: Ischnocnema melanopygia
Lineage: Eukaryota; Metazoa; Chordata; Amphibia; Anura; Brachycephalidae
Description: partial 12S ribosomal RNA
Source: RNAcentral
GACUCUAAAGUGUCCCCCAAACACAAAAGCUUGGUCCCAACUUUAUCGCCAGUUUUUCCUUAAUUUACACAUGCAAGUCUCCCCACCCCCGUGAGUAUCCCUUACCCCCGUCAGGGGAUUAACGGAAAUGGUAUAAGGCACAAACCUUCGCCCAAAACACCUAACAAAAGUCACACCCAUAAGGGCCACAGCAGUGAUUAAUAUUGGAUAUGAGCGCCAGCUUGAUUCAAUUAAAGCAAAAUAGGGCCGGCUAAGCUGGUGCCAGCCGCCGCGGUUACACCAGAGGCCCAAAUUGGCCAUCCCCACCGGCGUAAAGAGUGGUUAGAGUUACAACAAAUUAUUAUCAAAUUUGAACUAGGCGGUAACAUGCCUGUUCUCAAGAAGCUCCCAAACGAAAGUCAUUCUAAUUUAUAUAGUUCGAACCCACGAUAGCCAGAACACAAACUAGGAUUAGAUACCCUACUAUGUCUGGCCCUAAACCUUAAAUUACACCUCACC